This is an RNA transcript of Pongo pygmaeus (Bornean orangutan), 5092 nucleotides long. It is a transcript of the gene named histidine-rich glycoprotein-like, with no coding region annotated. The transcript is spliced from 3 exons. Lineage: Eukaryota; Metazoa; Chordata; Mammalia; Primates; Hominidae. The record is from RefSeq and is a predicted model, not a curated record.
AUUACAGACCACAUCUCCCAUUACGACCACACCUCCCAUCACAGACCACACCUCCUGUCUACCCAGAUGAGUAGCGGCAGCUGCUCUCCCAUGGCAGAAACCACGGAAAGGCCAGGGGUAUGACAGAGAUAAGGGGCCGAGGGGCUGAUCAAGGACAGGUCAGGAUGGUGGCACAAAGGAAGGGCUACCAGAACCCAGAACACCAGGGGCAACCACCACAGAAGGCACCCAUGGGCCAGGCCCCCACCCCAAGUGUCACACGUGCCCCUGUUGACCCUUCAGCUGAGAACACAGAGGGGCACCUGCACAUCCCCCACAUGGUCUCUCACCCCGAAAGCACGCCCAGCACCAGGUUGAGCAUGAAGAAGGAGCCGAUGAUGAUGAGAGGGAUGAAGUAGAGCCAGUUCCAGGUGUUGCCGGCCGCAUCGUUUGUCUGGAAGCAAGGAGAGGGAGAUGAGGAAGGACAGAGACAAAACACACAGUCCCGGCCACAGAAGCAACCCCAGCCCCCAACAGGCCUCCUUCUCAGAAGCACACACCUGGUAGGGUCCAGGCAGUGGGGAGGCCACUCACAGGGAGGUCCAAACAUGGGGCUGGAGUCCAGGCAGCACCCACAGGCAGACGUGCCUUUGCUGGCAGAGUUCUCUCUGGACUGCAGCUCCCAGAGGACCAGGGACACUCAGUGCUGCCAGCCACUGCCUAGCAACACUCAACAGCCAAGCAGUAGGCCCAGGGAGCCACGGCUGUGUGGAUGCCCCGAGGUGGCAUGAGCACCCAACCUCUGCCAGACACCUCCCUGGCUACCAGACAUCCUGGGCAGCUCCAAAGCCAUGUCCUCCUGAAGGGGGCCCACAGGCCCAAGUCCACAUCAGGCCCAAGUCCACAUCAGACCCAAGUCCACAUGCAGCAGCUCCCACAGCUGAGAGGCAACAGUGGGCCCAUCUGCAUUUUCAGUUUCACCACAUGCCUGGCCUGAGACAGCGCCCAGCACUCAGGCGUGAUCUGAAUAGCUGAAAGCAAAGAGGGACCUUCUUUCCCAGAUCUUUUGCUUUUUAUAGCACAGCCCACAAAAGGGUGUGCUCCUUUGAACCCAAUUUGAUUCCAUAGUUGUUUCGUUUUUAUGCAUUCCCAGGGGAUGUGGCUAAGGGGUGUAGAGAACCUCUUUCUCCCUGCGAGUCUGGUGCUGGAGAGACACCAGGAGGGUGGUGGGUGCCAAGGGAGGCAGCCCCUAGUCCUGUUCCUAGACGCCUCUCUUCAGAGGCAGUUCACAAGACACGGGACGGGCUCCACCAAAACAGAGGCAGGAGGACAGUCGGGGCACUGCCCUGCAGCGGGCGCUGAUCUCCAGGUGCUGCUGUUGGCAUUUCUGCCCUCCAGUGUCUGCCAGCCUGGCGGAUUUGCAGCCUCCACCCCUGCAUGGACUGAAGCUCGUGGUUCCUGACCCUUGGACACUGAUUCCAGGCUGGCCCCUGAGAUUCCUGGAUCCGAAACCAGAAGUGACAUUCAGAAUCUCAGCUCCAGCUGCAGUUCAUGUUCCUAGAACAUGAACCACUAAACCACACCUCUGUCCAGACUCACUCACAUGCAACUCAGAUCUUGGACUGGGCGGCCACCAAAGCCACCAACUUCCCGCAAGCACACCCUCAAACCUGCCCUCCCUUCUUCAGAAAAAGGAGAUAUCGCUGCUGUAGCCUCAGCCCCUCUCACCUGCUCAAGUACUUGGCUCCCGCAAUUUCCCUCCCCAAUGGAGUGUUCUCAUCAGUAGCCAACUGGCUCUAAUUCCUCUCAUCUUAAAAAACAGGACUUCUACUUCUGGGAAGAUGGAGCAGACAUACUCUGCCAUAUUGUUCCCACUAAAUGGAAUUAACAUACUGAAAAUUAUUCACAAAGCAAACACAGAAUGACUCUGAAAGGUGGAGAAAAUAGGGCAGACUAGCUAGGACCCCAGGAUAUAAGGUGCAUUUCCAGGAUUUUCUUCUUGCUUCCUAUACCCCACAUUUGGAUCUGAUGAAGCUAAAACUUGGAAAUGCCCAAGGGGCACAGACAACCAAAAAAAGCACCAGCAAAAGCCAGCUCUCCCUAACCAAGGCGGCCUAGCAGGACAGGGAGCUCUCAGACAACCCACAGAAAACGCUGGCUCCAUCUCCAUCCCUCCCUUCCCGCAAAGACCCAGAGGAGCACCUAGACUGCAAUGAGGCAUCCAAAUCCCCUCACCCUCCAUGGGGUGCUGUCAGAGAAAGCCAAGUAGAAGGUGGAACGUUCCUCCUCAGCAGGGGUUAUCACGGCCCCCCAGCCCCAGCCCACCUCCGCGGUACUAGUGAAGACCACACGGGACACCUUGACUUCCAUUUACACAGGCAGUAGGGGCACCCCCUGCUGCUAGGGAGCUAUCAGAAGGGUCUUGUGCAACCAGGACUUUUACCACCAUCCAGCAGUCAUGAAGCCACCCACCCACCCACAGUGUGCAGAAACCACGUGGAGAACAAGAACGAGGCACCUCUAACCCUCCCAGCCUGGAAAGUUCCCUUGAGGCAUGGUGGGGAUCCAGACCUGCCACCCCUGCCCAGCAGUAAGGAGAACACACUACCAUAUGUCAACAGAGGCCAAGUGGGGAACCUAGACUUCUGCACUCACCGGCAACAAGACAGCAGCCCUCCUCCUUCCCUGACAGCCAAUGCAGAAUGCUUAACUGAGAUCCAAGGUCCCAUGCCGAAAGGCCAAAAAUGGCCAGUUUUCAACUGAAACUCACUCGUCAUAGGGAAGCAUUUUCCAUCUCUCUUUCCAACUCAGGACACUUGACAGAGAGCACCUAAUCAUGGAGGCAACUGCAGGUCUCUGGCUGGGGCCACUCUACGGAGAGACUGAAAGACCACUGUGGGCAACUCUCCAUCCAUUCCGUCUGAUUCCCUGCUUGGCUGCAUCCUCAACCACUGGAAUCAACUGAACCCUGAGGAGAAAUCUAAGGAGAAAACGUCUGAUUUUCUACUAUAAUAAUGUAUAGCCCCAGUAUCAGCUGGACAGCCAGGAAUAAUUGGUGGUCAUUGGAAGUCUUAAUUAAAACACCAUCCUGCAAUUAGACCUGUUUUGCAAAAGGCAGGGUAAAUUGUCAGAAAUCCCAUACGUACAGGUCUUCAUGGCCCUAUACCAAAACCCAACAAUCUGCAAAAGUCCUGGAACCUGCCCUGAAAAGGAAGGUCUUAAGGCAGAACUAGAUAUUGUAGAUGACCCCCUUUUACAAAGGCCACCUGUCUCUCAGAGGCAAGUGCAACCACCCCUUGUAUAACUCCUUGCCAAGUGCUCCUGAGGCUCAAACCCAAGAGCAAAAUUCGGGGGUCCAGCUAAGUCCUCCUCAUAUUUGGAGAGGAACAAUCUAUUCAACUCCCCCUCCAGCCCUGCUACCCCUUAGGGAAGUAGCAGGAGCUGAGGGGCCAGUCCUAGUGCAGUCCCCCUUUUCUAUAACUGAUAUAAAACAACACACAGAAAAGCUAGGAAGCUAUUCUGAGAACCCUAGGAAUUUGGAGAUGGGUCCCAAACUUUGACCUUAGCCUUUGAUCUCUCACGGGAGAUGUCAAUUCAUUCUAGCAACCUAUUGCAGCCCCUUAGAAAAGAAACAAAUCUUUGAGGCUGCCCACCAGGAAGCAGAUGACUUAUUUCCUUGAAACUCUCAGGGCAAUCACUUAGGCCCAGACACAGUCUCCAUUACUGAUCCUAAUUGGGACUAUAACAUACCCGAGGGAAUGAACCACCAGGCUAAGUUUCUUGAGGCUCUCCUUGGAGGAAGAGAAAGAGAAUAAGGCAGUAAAUUAUGAUAAGGUAAAGGAGGUUACACUGGGCAAGAAGGAAAAUCCAGCCAUGUUUCAUGGCAGGCUGGAGGAAGCCUUUAAAAAAUAUACUAAUCCAAUCUGUCCCAGACAUUAGAUAUAAGCUACAGAUGGGCCCACAAACUAAUCAAAAUCAGCUUCUUGAUAUUGCUUUCAUGAUGUAUAACAAUCAUGAAGGAAGGAAAAGGGGAACAGAGUAAAGAAAAAUGGCAAGCAAAAACUAUGACAGCCAUCACUGGCAAUGCCCUGAAUGCCCAAAGAGCACUCAAAGGAAACCCAAAGGGCCAUAAGGACAAUGCCAGCCUGUAGAGGAUACAAGAUUUGUUAGUACUAAUAGAUACUUGUAGGGAGCUGAAGGACGGAGAGACAUGACCAACUCAGUAUUCCACUGGAGGUUAUAUGAUCAAACAGCAAACUGUUUAUUAUGAAAGCAGGAUGUGGGCAAACUCAUGACUGUGCCUGCUACCAGGAGAUUUGCUGAGGGCAAUUACUCCCUGGCGCCGUGCUCAUUGCGGUUACCUACUGGGACAUCUAGAGCCUAUUGUUCAAAGAAUGCGGUCUUGUAAGCCUGCUAUGAAUCAAACUGCCUGCUGACAACCACCCCCUCCUCUUCUCGCUAUCUCUUUUGCCUAAUAAAUAUGGAGGGCUGUGUAAAGCUCAGGGCCCUUGUUCACUAGCAAAGAGCCCCCUGACCCCUUCUUCCAAAUAUACUCUUUGUCUUUAUCUUUAUUCCUGCAUUCAUCAUCCUUUGUUCAGUCCCCCAAGGUCCAUGCAGGUUACAGAUACCUUUACUGGCUGGAUUGAAGCUUACCCUACACCAAAACACAGAAGGCCAAUGAAGUUGUUAAGGUUCUUCAAAGAAAUAUUUCCCCAGUUUGGGUUACCUCAAAGCCUCCAAAGUGAUAAUGACUCGUUCUUUAUCUCUCAAAUAAUUCAAGGGGUUGCUAAGGCUCUCAGAAUCAAAUACUAUUUACAUUCAGCAUGGAGGCCUCAAUCCUCUAGAAAAGUGGAAAGAGCUAAUCAAACUCUAAAAUGGGUGUUAGCUAAGCUAUGUCAGGAAACAUAAGAAACUUGGGUCAACUUGCUGUCCACAGCUCUUGUAAGAGUCCAUAAUUUCCCCAGAGCAAAAAUUAAUAUGAGCCCAUAUGAAAUGUUAUACAGGAGGCCAUUUUUAACUAAUGAUCUAAAUACUGAUCCAGAAACAGCCACUUUAGUGAAAUACCUAGUUAAGCUGGGACCAUUUCCGCAGGCUUUACAAAAGUUUGAAACUC